AAAAAAUAAUUCGUCCUUGACGGAGGUCGACCGCCGUCUGGCGCGUCCGGCCGAGUCAUCGGAACAAACCCCCGCGUACCUCUCCCGACUUUGCUUCCCGCGCCUUUUCGGGCGCGGGCAAGAAACCCUCUUUCCAUUUUUUUUUGACGUCAGUCUGAAGCGGAAAAACACAAAAAAAAGUU
RNAcentral lists this unclassified non-coding RNA (182 nucleotides) under uncultured fungus. RNAcentral's name for it is "sequence contains ITS1". The record is from RNAcentral. Lineage: Eukaryota; Fungi.